RNAcentral lists this ribosomal RNA (445 nucleotides) under uncultured bacterium. Its description in RNAcentral is "bacterial SSU rRNA". It matches the Rfam family "Bacterial small subunit ribosomal RNA", at positions 329 to 792 of the family's 1533-position model. The record is from RNAcentral.
CUCCAGACUCCUACGGGAGGCAGCAGUGGGGAAUAUUGCACAAUGGGGGAAACCCUGAUGCAGCGACGCCGCGUGAGUGAAGAAGUAAUUCGUUAUGUAAAGCCCUCUCAGCAGGGAAGAAAAUGACGGUACCUGAGUAAGAAGCCCCGGCUAACUACGUGCCAGCAGCCGCGGUAAUACGGAGGAUGCGAGCGUUAUCCGGAUUUAUUGGGUUUAAAGGGUGCGUAGGCGGAACAUUAAGUCAGCGGUAAAAUCGGGGGGCUCAACCCCUUUAAGCCGUUGAAACUGGUGAUCUUGAGUGGGCGAGAAGUAUGCGGAAUGCGUGGUGUAGCGGUGAAAUGCAUAGAUAUCACGCAGAACUCCGAUUGCGAAGGCAGCAUACCGGCGCCCGACUGACGCUGAGGCACGAAAGCGUGGGGAUCGAACAGGAUUAGAUACCCGAGUA